Long non-coding RNA from Zonotrichia leucophrys gambelii, 7098 nucleotides. RefSeq lists it as uncharacterized. Lineage: Eukaryota; Metazoa; Chordata; Aves; Passeriformes; Passerellidae. The record is from RefSeq and is a predicted model, not a curated record. The transcript is spliced from 10 exons.
GGCAGCACGGGCGCGGUUGCGGCGGAGUCCGGAGGCGGCGCUGACAGGACGGCGCGCGGAGGCGCUGCGGCCCGCGGCUGCCGCCCCCGGCCCGGAGCGGCACGGCCCGGGGCAGCCCGGCUGCGCUGAGCUCGGUCCGGCCCGGAGCAGCCCGGCCGCGCUGAGCCCGGCCCGACCCGGCUGUGCUGAUCCCGGCCCGGGGCAGCCCGGCUGCGCUGAGCCGGGCCCGAGGAAGAAGCAGAAGUUUUAACCAUCUUCCCAUGGCAUCUGACUUUUUUGAAGAGGAGGACUUUUCAACCACUUGCUGGAAGGGAAAUAGUUUGUUUCAAGACUCUUAUGUUGUUCAUCAGUGCUGUUAGCAAACGUGGGGCUUGAGGAUACAUUUGCUGCUUCUCUGCAUUUUUGCUGAAGGUCCAUGCAUUUGAAGGAAGGACCUUGCUGUCUCCCAGCUCCUGUGGGCAUUAGGUUUCAUGAAUGUCUCUUGGGAAGAGGACAGCUCUGUAGAGCCUAAGUUUCAAAAAUUGCAUCCAAGAGAGAAGCAGUGAGAUGCGCAGUGGGGAAAAUGAACCCAGCAGUCCAUCCUAUCCUGUACCUGCCUGAAUAUGGGAAGUGACCCAGUAGAAAGCCAGAAUGCAGCUGGGCUUGCAGUAUUUUUAACCAUAUUAAGUCCUGUUCAGAGUUAAUGAUGAGCUCAGUGAGAUGGUCUCAGCAAUGCUGAAGAAGGGAAGGACAGAAUUGGAAGGCAGGAGCUAUUUCAAAGCAGCAUUCUUCAUCUUUCUGUAAUGCCCAAACAUGAAGACUUUAUAAACUUCAUUAGUGUCAUUCCCAAAAUGAAGUAGUGUCCUUGGGCUGGUGGCAACAGCUGGAGUUGCAGAAUUCAUAAAUAAUUCAGAGAAGGAUAAAGGAUCCUGCCAUCAAUGACUGAGCCUCCCUGAAAUCUUAUCAGCUCACCAAGAUGAGAAGGAUAACAGGAAGGAGGAGUGCUUAAGUGGCUUUAAUGACAAUUAAUUUCUACUGUUUAUCAAAUGACAGGUUGUUUUUUCCUCAAAACUUGAUUGUCAUAAGAUGCUUUUGGAAGUAAUUUUUGUAAAAUAAAAUGACAGUUUUUAAGCUACAAAGAGCUAUUGUAUCUUACUAUUGAAUGUUGUCAUUAUGGUAAAAGGCUGGAAAGUCUAUUUUUGAAGUAAUUUAACUUGCAUACUUCAUUCAUUUAUUUUAAUAUCUGUUGAAUGCCAUGUGAAAAGUUUCUUGCUGGAAUUCUUUUAUUCAAUGGAAUACUUACUGUUACAAUGUUCAAUUUAUUAAUGUCUGAAUUAUUGUUGCCCUAGCCUCCUGCAAAAAGUUUCUUUUUAGUAAUUCUUAAACAAAUAAGGAAUGAAUGAGGUUUUGUCCAUUUUGUGUUUUGAUCAGCAUAUUUUCCCUUUCAGUGAAAGUGUCUUCACUUUUUGGAAUGACACAACAAAAAGAAAAGUGUUUUGGUUUUUGGGUUGUUUUUUUCCCAACAGCACAUGUCUUUUGUGCAAUGAUUUUUUAAUAUAUACACUGCCAAAAUACAAUUACUGGAAGGAGAGAGAGAAGCUGUUGGGAAUGUCAUGUUAUGCCAAAUUAAGAAUUAUUAGCUCUUACUUUCUGUGCAAUCUCUUCGACUAGAACUCGACCUAUUGCGUCUGGCGCGUACUUUGACUCUAGUGGAACUAAUGUGUCCUUGGAGUAGCAUUUCAGAGUAACUUCAGAUUCAUGCUUUUUCACAAGUCUGCUUUAAACUGGUGGGAUUAACUUCAGAGAAGGCGAGAGAUACAGGCUCCUUUGUCAGCAGCUGUGCUGGGUAAAGAAGGAGGCUUCGUGCACGCUUGCUUGCUCAUUCUCUCCCUGCUAGGGAAGCAGACUGAGCUGUUUCCCUGAGCACAUGCAGACUGACUUCAGCCAAAGUGAAUCCUGUUAUCAAAUAUUAGUUAUCAGUGCCCUGGGUCAGUGUGAUGAAAGGACAGGGCAUGCACAGACCAGCUGUGCAGACGUCAUGUCUGGGAAGGGUGCUGUGUUGACAAGAGUUGCUGAGGGCUGGCCCUGCUGUGUCGCCUUUUCAGCAGGUGCAGUUGCAUCUCUUGGAUGUGGUAAAAAUUGGACGUGUUAGAAAGCUGUGCAGAUCUGUCACACAUAAUAUUCACAUUCCGGGGACACACUGGAUAAUGCAGAAUAAACCUGUGCUCUUUGACUUAUUCCUCGUGUGUACCAGUAUGGGGGGAGAGAACUGGUGUGUGUGUGUAUGUGCCAGGCACCUAUUUCAGGAAAAUGUAUCUGGUCAAGGUGUGGGAAUGGUACAAGUGUUUGCAUUUUCUGGAGAACACAGUUUUUACUUUACUCAUCAAAGAGGCUGCCUCAGCCAAUACAUGCCUCAGGAGAACUGCUUUUGAUACAUCAGAUGCCUUGAGUGGAGAAGGGAGAACAGCUCCAGCAGGAGUGGCUGCUGUUGCUUUUCUACAGUGUUGAAUCAGUAGAUGCUGGAGUCUGGUGAGGCAUCCAAGCUCUUGUUAUUCCCUGUGCCAAAAUUAGAAUGGUAUGGAUAAUCUUUAGUACUCAAAGACACAGUGAGUAAAAGCAGUGCACUGAACAGCUCCUUCCACACUGACCCUUCUUGUGGAGUGUAGGUGCCUUCCUGGGCAUACAAAGAACAAGAGAAAGCUGAGAGCAGCAGUGCUGCUUGUGUCUCCUCCUGGGGCACUGCCAGGUGAAAAGAACACAGUCACAGAAAGGAUUGAGCCUUCAGCUCAGGUUUUGAGUUGUCCAUUAUCUUUUAUUAGUCCUUAAGGUAAAGGAUGAGGAAUAUGCAGUGGCCGUACUGCACAUAUGGAAGGGAGGAAAACCAAGUGCCAGGUGUGUGAGGAAGGGGCAGGUGUGGCUCCAGGUGUGAGAGCUGUGCCCUGUUGCAGCAGCCCAGGGUUGGGCCAUGGCUGAGCUCUCAGUGCUGGGUUCAGGAGUGAUGACUGUCACAUGUCUCCCCUGGCCAUGAACUAAGUGAAAAUGACCUCCCCAGCUCUCUGAGACAACCCAUAAUCCAUAGGACUUUUUAUCUUAAAAUGGAUUAUUAAAGUACUGAGAUUCAAGUGUUUAAUGAAAUGCUUGUGAUCGCCUAGGAAUCUAUUUACCUGCCUAAGUAGUAAUACACAGGUAAACCAGUGCUGCAAAAUAACAUCUUACAUAGAGCACUGUCAUGGAUGUUAAGCUGAUGAGUAAAAUUUUACAUCCAAGCACUUAAAACCAUCAAAUAUGAUAGUUAAACUGCCAUACUGUUUAUGUAGUGCUAAAAAGACAACAAAGUAAAACUUCAGGGAAGGCAGAUUUUCUUAUAAAUAUUCUAAAUAAGAGGUUGGUUUCAGGUAGACUCCCUGGCUCUUUGGUGAUUGCUGAAUUUGGUCUGAAUCUAUCAGGAAUCCCAAACACAAUGGUGUGUUUAUUAUUAUAAACACAUGACUUCUAUGUAAGUUCUCCACAAAUAUGUUGGAGAAAACAUAGUUUACCUUCUUAACUGGUACUAUAUGGUUACUUUCUAACUCCUUUAAUUUCAGUUCUAACUUGAUUGAAUAAAAGGUGCAUUCCUGACAAUAAUCUUUGCAUCUGUAAUGGAACACUUGAUUUUAUAUGACUGUUUGCAUACUCCAGACAUAACACAACAUUUUUACAGCAAUAUGUGUUGACAAUACACAGAGAUAAAAAUCAGCUUAUGACAAACUAAGGAGCAAACUUUUAAUAAGACCAAUGAAUCAUUAGAAAUUAUUAGAAAGUGAAUAUUAGAUUUUCUAUCUUUUGAAUGAAGAUGAUAUUUUUAUAGAGGUAUAAGCUUGAACAAAUGGCUGGGGGUGGUAGAGGAAUUCCUCACUGGCUUCUGUAGCUUUUGCAACACCUGGGAUCAGACUGGGUCAUCUUAGACAUCCUUCUGGCUUGGAAGGGAGGGCGAAGUCUCAGUGUGGCAAAUAUAUGUGAAUAGAAUAGCAGCUUCCACAGAAAAGUUACUCAAAGGUAAUUAAUUAUCUUCAAAAAAAGAUUGGGAAAGGCAUUGGGAAUGUUCCUGUCUCCCAGUGCCAUGCCUUUUUCAAAGAUCCUCUUUCACCUGACUGCUUGCUCCUGUGGGGUGUUUCAUUGGCUGAGGUGGGUUUUUCUGGUUCAUCCAUCCUCGCUCCAUCCACAUUAACCAAACAGCACAUAAACAUCUUUUCCAGGACAAGUAUCUUCUACAGAGUGUCUGCUUCUACAAAGUGUAAUAUUGCCUUUCUGCUAGAAAUAAUUAUUAGGUUGAAAAUAAUCUGACAACAUCCUGCUGUGGAUAAAUUAGGUUUGCUCUCUACUAAGAUUAGUUAGCUGGCAUCCAUUCACUAACACGUUACAAGAAAAUUACAAGAAAAUUGCAAGUUGAUUGUAUCCAGUUAUCUGCCUUUUUUCCUGUUUAAUAGGCUUUUUGUUGCCAUGCUGUCACCAAAUGUGUGCAAGUCAUACUUUUCCAAGUGCCCUACAGCCCGGGGAGAUGGUGUUUGCUGUCCCGUACCAUGAAAAGACUUUUGGGCUGAAGUGUUUGGAGAAGGGGAAGGUUGUCUCUGUGUAGAUUUCUGAAUCUUGUGCACCUUUGGUUUUGGCCAACAGGGGUGUGUUCUGCUCUGUGGCAAUCAGUACAUUACCACCACAGUCCAAAAUGCCAGGUAUAAUUAGCUCAGGUGUUUAAAUAGGUGUUGUUAUUUUUCAGCUUGUAUAUACAAGCCUGUUUUCAUGCAGAAGUCCAUAUUUUACUUGGGAAGAAAGCUGUGCAAAUCAGAAAAAGUAUUUUAAGUUAUGUGCUAGUGUUUAAGAUUUUAGAAAUAACUGUGAGGUCUUGUAGGCACCCAGUUUGUGAUAAUUGGGAUGGGGCUGGCCCAGCCUCAUCCCCAAUGGGCACAGCUGUGAGCAGCAGGUGAGCAGCACUGACAGCAAUGAGCCAUGGAGUGCCCAGGGGCACUGAGCAACAACCAAAGGGAGCAGAGGGCACACAGAGGCAGGGCAUGGACAGCGAGGGGCUCACAGGGGCAGGGCAUCAACAAUGAUGGGCACACAGGUGCAGGGCAUGGACAGUGAGGGGCACACAGGGGCAGGGCAUGAACCAUGAGGGGCACACAGGUGCAGGGCAUGAACUGUGAGGGGCACACAGGUGAAAUGCAUUACCAGUGAGGGGCAAACAGGUGCAGGGCAUUAACAAUGAGGGCACACAGGGGCACGGCAUUGACAGUGGGGGGCACACAGGUGCGGUGUGUUAACCAUGAGGGGCACACAGGUGUGGUGCAUCAACAGGAGGGGAUAAAAGGUUGGGCUAAAGAACAAGAAGGACAGAACUGUGCGGCUUUCUGUAGCGGUGUGGUGUUACUCUGUGUGGGCAGAUGCCUGAAGCCUUCUGAUGAGGGCACAAAGUUUGUCAUGGUGACACCAAGAGCUCUGAGGAGGCUCAGGUAAACUCUCAGGUGUGCAGGGUGCCAACAAAGGGGCCCUGAGAGCCUUUGGAGCAGGCCCUGAGCCUUCAGCCAGCACUGAUGCUCCUGAGGAUGAGGAAGGUGCUGCUCAAGUGCUGGACUGAGCAUCUUUGCAUCUCCUGCAUCAUGGAGCAACAGGAGAAGCUUGGCAAGAAGAUGAAAAGGUGACAACAGCAACAGCAUGCCAGAGGUUGUGAUCACACAGGCAGAUGAGUGUUUGGGCAGCUUGGCUGUUGUUGUCCAGCCCUCUGUACCUUGUGGGGGCAGCUGAAAUCCUCAUCCAGUACUGCUUUUGCUCUUUGUGUGUGCUGAUAGCUGCAGGUGAGGAUCAGGGUGUGUGGAGCUGUGUGCAUCUGAGACAGAGGAUUCUGGCUCCAAAAAACACUGAUUAAAUAGGACUCAACCACUGAUACAGACAGUUGAGAAUAAUUUUGGUGGGUUUUUUUAUGUGGCCUCUAGCAGUAUUUAAAGACUGAGAAGAUCCUUGAUAUCUUAUCAUUUUGACUCCUCUUAUUGUUGAACUCUGUGGUUAUACAUAUUUCAGCAUCUUCUUUUCAUGUCUCCCUACGUCUUUAUAACUGUUGGACAAGUCAGUACCUGAGAUGGCUCCUUUUAUGUGUGCUAGAUGUUGUAGAUCCUCCAAGGGAGGGAGUAAUUAAAUUACUGUUUCAAAGGAGUUCUCCACCACACUAAUAACUUAUCUGUAAGCUUUUUCAAGUAGUUGUUUGUACUCUAAAAUGACUAAACUGUUGUAUAAUCUCAAAAUUACAAUAAAUCAUAAUUCCUCUUGGAUGGAGGCAGCUAUGAUGUCUGGAUAUGCAGAACUGCUGAUGUCUGAGAGUUUUAAAUACCACACUUGCAUGUACCUGGGGGAGGGCACAGGAAAAUAUGGACAAUUCCUGCUGCUAUGUGUUCUGCAUAUUCACACCCUGGUUACCUGAGUUCUGGUGUGGGGCCAUCAGCCCCAAGGUUUGGUUAGCUUCUGAAAUCAAUAAUAAACGCCCCUUAUUCCACUUAUCCUGCAAAGAUGUAGUGUAUUUUCUAUUUUCACCCUCACCACCACCAUUUAGUUGGGCACAAAAGAAGGAAAAGGACUGAGGUCCAAGUCCAAAAAGACUUGCCUGAGGUCAAGUUCUCCUCACUGUAUUCUGCCAGGCAUUGUGAGUCCGUCAUGAAAUUGUCCACACAAGGCUUUGGAGACCUGACUGCUGUGAUAAAAGGCAGGCAAAGAUGUGUGUGUUUGGACAGAGGACUCAGCCUUUCCAAGACUGCUCUCUGCUUCCAGGGACAAGACCUGUGUAGUGAGGGAGAGGAGGAGAGGGGAAUACAAGUUUUCAGUCCUGCAGAAUAAAUCCAUGUGUGCCUGAUAAAGUUCUUCCUGCUAAUGGAGUUCAGCCUUUCUUUUUCAUACUGCUGGAUCAAUGAAAUGCUCCUAAAAUAAGCUCCAAUGGCUGGUUUUUAUUACAGCCUUAAGGAAUAGUUUAAUUUUGCCUUAGAAAUGCAUCUGAUAUGGCCAUUUGCUCCUGGGAUCUGUAAGAAGAUUUUUGCCUUCCCUUCAACAAAUGAGUGCUGGUGAUCUUUGGUGACCAGCAGCAGUGUGAACACUGUGUGC